GAGUCUUCAUCCAACAAGAAUUCAGAGUGUCUACUAUAAUUCCAGCCAGGAGAAAGCUUUCCAGAGAUGAGGAAAAAACAUUUUCAGAAAAUCUGAAGAAGACUGCCAAAAAAGAUAACAUCAAACAUAAAGAGAAUUCAGCAGACAUCUGAUGAUUUGAAUUGCUGACAGUGGGAAUGGAGAAAACACAUACAUAGAGGACUUGCGUGUCUGA
RNAcentral lists this long non-coding RNA (214 nucleotides) under Bos indicus x Bos taurus (hybrid cattle). RNAcentral's name for it is "lncRNA (ENSBIXG00000020877.1)". The record is from RNAcentral. Lineage: Eukaryota; Metazoa; Chordata; Mammalia; Artiodactyla; Bovidae.